Long non-coding RNA from Pteropus alecto (black flying fox), 558 nucleotides. RefSeq lists it as uncharacterized. The record is from RefSeq and is a predicted model, not a curated record. The transcript is spliced from 4 exons. NCBI's taxonomy places the organism in Eukaryota, Metazoa, Chordata, Mammalia, Chiroptera, Pteropodidae.
UGCCUUUCCCAGGCUCUGCUGGGCCUCCUGCCUGGCUCCUCCUGAGCCAGGCGCACAAGUCUCGUUGGGAAUUCUCAGGGCUCCGUGUGAGGUGGAUUGGGGGAGAGGACCGACUUCCUCUGACAGGGCGCAUCCUCGCUAGCAUCCCCUGAAACAAUGCACUCAGCUGAUGGAGACCCAGCACUGCAGCUUCACGAGGCCACAGCCCCAGCUCUUCUGCGAAAGCGAGAUAACCAUUGUACUCAUCGCAUGUGAUUGCUGGCAGCAUGAAAUCAGACAAUGCGUGCAGAAUGCUUCGAGCAGGGCCAGCCCACAGCAAACACUGACUGUAUGAGGAAACCGAAGCUCCGUGUAAUUGGGCUGCCUGGUCUUUCCUGCCGUUAACUGGAACCCAGGUCUGUCUGAUGCAAGACCACGUGAAUGGAGACACCGAGAUGGGAGUGGCGAGGGACCUCACGCAAGGCCACAGAGGGAGAAAGCAGCCCGACUGGCAAAAGAGACCAAAAGGCUCGCUGCCAAGUUCUUUGUAAAAGACUGGAAACUGCCCAUCAGCAGGGG